GACGAACGCUGGCGGCGUGCUUAACACAUGCCAGUCGAACGGAAAGGCCCUGCUUUUGUGGGGUGCUCGAGUGGCGAACGGGUGAGUAACACGUGAGUAACCUGCCCUUGACUUUGGGAUAACUUCAGGAAACUGGGGCUAAUACCGGAUAGGAGCUCCUGCUGCAUGGUGGGGGUUGGAAAGUUUCGGCGGUUGGGGAUGGACUCGCGGCUUAUCAGCUUGUUGGUGGGGUAGUGGCUUACCAAGGCUUUGACGGGUAGCCGGCCUGAGAGGGUGACCGGCCACAUUGGGACUGAGAGACGGCCCAGACUCCUACGGGAGGCAGCAGUGGGGAAUAUUGCACAAUGGGCGGAAGCCUGAUGCAGCAACGCCGCGUGCGGGAUGACGGCCUUCGGGUGGUAAACCGCUUUCGCCUGUGACGAAGCGUGAGUGACGGUAAUGGGUAAAGAAGCACCGGCUAACUACGU
This 467-nucleotide ribosomal RNA is filed under the name uncultured bacterium. RNAcentral describes it as "partial 16S ribosomal RNA". It matches the Rfam family "Bacterial small subunit ribosomal RNA", at positions 28 to 506 of the family's 1533-position model. The record is from RNAcentral.